GAGAGGCCUUCGCGCGAAAACAAAAAGAAAAACCCCAAUUUUUUUGGUUUUCCCUCUUAUAUUUUUCCUCUGUCUCAGACCCAUACCCCAAAUGACCCCGUACCCCUCUUUCUCCUCUCAGACCCCGUACCCCUCUCUCUCCUCUCAGACCCCAAACCUCAAGCCCCAAACCCCGAACCUCUAACCUCUGUAAGUCUCCCUCUCUCUUCUCUCAGACCUCAAACCCCAAACCGCAAAUGACUGAACCCCAAACCUCUGUAAGUCUCCCUCUCUCUUCUCUUAGACCGAUCAUCCUCUCGAGCAACGGAGACCUCCGAUCAUCCUCUCGGCAGCUCCAUCCUCUCGGGCAGCUCCGUCGUAGGGGGCGUCCCCACCUCUCCGAUCAUCGUAGGCGGCAGCUGACCAGAGUGAGUUGGAAAGAACAUAAGCAAGAAUAAGUGUUGCUGCUUCCUUAAAUUUCCCAGCCUUCUCAAGAAAAUCUACCACAACUAGUAUAUCUCCUCUGAGGUAUUGUGUUGAUGCUAUGCAUUACAAAAUUGAAGAUGUGAUCAAACUUUUAGAGGAACAUGGUGCAAAGCCUCCGAUGGCUCAUCACAUGCACGUUAAAAAUGCACGCGAAGUCCCCGAGUAUGAGAUCGAUCCCAAGGAGCUUGUUUUAUCUCAGAAAAUGAGAACCAAGAAAAGAAGAAAGUGCAAGAAUUGAAGCAGGGGAUUGAAGAAUUGGAAAAUGAAUUGAGGUGAGCAUAGACUAAUAAUAAAUACCAUCUUUGGUAUAUUUUGCUACUGCUUUAAUUGUGUUUGAGUUUGACUAAUAAUGACAGAAUGCUCUCUUUGUAUAUGUUUGUGAAAUGGUUAUUGAUAUCAUAAAGCACUCUUUCAUAGCUAAAUUUAAUGGCAUAAAGCCCAUUGCAUACUCUCAGUUUCUUGAGGACCUCUGUUUUUUUCUCCUUUCUAUUAUGAGUUGAUAUUUGUUCAGUUGUAUCACAGCUGCAAUAUAUUCAAGUAACAAAAUGUAUGUUGUUGAAAGUGAAGUAUAUGCCUUUGAUAUAUUACUACAAUGGUCAGCGAGUCUCAUUAUAUUGUGAUAUGUUUCCAGGUUAUUUAAUAGUGUCUCAUGAAAAAGGCAUAUGAUGACCAAAGAUAAUUUGAGUUUAGGGAAUCAUUUGGCUAUCUUGUACCGUUGAAUAAAUGAAAAGUAUUACUGUAGGAUUUGUUAUUUGUUGUAUUAGUUAUUCUCUUGAUAGUACAUUUAGUUGUCAUCUCAUCCCAAUGAGUUUCAGGUUGACAAAAGCCAUAUGUAGUAAACUAUUUUGAAGUAUUUCUUCCCCAUUAAAGUUUAACUUAGUCUUCUUUAUGAUUAUAGAUUUUUUCUGUAGUGAGUUUGCUCAUUUAUAAGUUUUGACAGUUAGCACAGUUUUUGGGAUCAUGAAAGCUGUAAAUUCAUAACAUUUCUUUGAUAGCGUGGGUAUUACUCACAUAGUCAAGCAUAAGCAGGAGGAUCACUGUUAUAUAGAUACCGAAGAUUCAAAGAAUAUUCUCACUUUUAUUUUAGUGGCGCUAGCUUGUGUGGAAAAAAAACUUGAUUAUUUAUUUAUUGAAAGAGGAGAUGGUGGUGGCAAGUCAAGAGGCUCUGCACUUAGUUAGGUAGCCUGCAAGUCACGAGGACUGAGGCUAAAACUCUACUUGGACAUUUAAGAGAACCAAGAUAAUUAUAUAAGAAAACCAAGGCAACACGAAAUUCUUCUUCAAGUUGUUUGGUAUUAUUUUUUUUCUUGCUUGUAAGAAUUAUGUACAGUGAGGAUUUGAUGUAUUAUUUACGUCGAGAAUAAUGAAUUGUUAUUGAGAAUUAUAAUGAAUUUUCAUUGAGACUUAUUUAGUCUCAUGGGAAUUUGAUGUAUUAUUUACAUUUCAAUUGUAUGAAUAAAUGUUGUAUGUA
Molecule: long non-coding RNA, 1936 nt
Organism: Humulus lupulus (European hop)
Lineage: Eukaryota; Viridiplantae; Streptophyta; Magnoliopsida; Rosales; Cannabaceae
Exons: 7
Source: RefSeq, a predicted model, not a curated record